GCGAGUCUUGUAGCAUACAAGGCGGACGGCUCAGUAACACGUAGUCAACCUCACUCGUGGACGUGGAUAACCUCGGGAAACUGAGAAUAAACCACGAUAGAUCAUAAUGCCUGGAAUGGCUUAUGGUCCAAACAGUUUACUGCCAUGGGAUGGGACUGCGGCCUAUCAGCUUGUUGGUGAGGUAAUGGUCCACCAAGGCGAUUACAGGUACGGGCUCUGAGAGGAGAAGCCCGGAGAUGGGUACUGAGACACGGACCCAGGCCCUAUGGGGCGCAGCAGGCGAGAAACCUUAGCAAUGUGCGAAAGCACGACUGGGUCAGUCCGAGUGAUUCCUGCUAAAGGAAUCUUUUGCUUGUCCUAAAAGCACAGGUGAAUAAGGGGUGGGCAAGUCUGGUGUCAGCCGCCGCGGUAAUACCAGCACCUCGAGUGGUCAGGACGUUUAUUGGGCCUAAAGCAUCCGUAGCCGGCUCUGCAAGUCUUCGGUUAAAUCCACCUGCUCAACAGAUGGGCUGCUGGAGAUACUACAGAGCUAGGGAGUGGGAGAGGCAGACGGUAUUCAGUGGGUAGGGGUAAAAUCCUCUGAUCCAUUGAGGACCACCAGUGGCG
RNAcentral lists this ribosomal RNA (606 nucleotides) under uncultured archaeon. RNAcentral describes it as "bacterial SSU rRNA". It matches the Rfam family "Archaeal small subunit ribosomal RNA", at positions 53 to 668 of the family's 1478-position model. The record is from RNAcentral.